CCUCUUCAAUGGCUGUGCGAAGUUGCUGGAUAUUGGCAGGAACUGGAACACGCUGUCGUAUACGCCGACCCAGAGCAGCCCAAACAUGCUCAAUAGGUGACAUGUCCGGUGAGCAUGCUGGCCAUGAAU
This is a long non-coding RNA of Sinocyclocheilus anshuiensis, 129 nucleotides long. RefSeq lists it as uncharacterized. Lineage: Eukaryota; Metazoa; Chordata; Actinopteri; Cypriniformes; Cyprinidae. The transcript is spliced from 3 exons. The record is from RefSeq and is a predicted model, not a curated record.